This 274-nucleotide ribosomal RNA is filed under the name Acinetobacter baumannii. RNAcentral's name for it is "partial 23S ribosomal RNA". It matches the Rfam family "Bacterial large subunit ribosomal RNA", at positions 599 to 875 of the family's 2925-position model. Lineage: Bacteria; Pseudomonadati; Pseudomonadota; Gammaproteobacteria; Moraxellales; Moraxellaceae. The record is from RNAcentral.
GCGUACCUUUUGUAUAAUGGGUCAGCGACUUAUAUUCUGUAGCAAGGUUAACCGUAUAGGGGAGCCGCAGGGAAACCGAGUCUUAACUGGGCGUUAAGUUGCAGGGUAUAGACCCGAAACCCGGUGAUCUAGCCAUGGGCAGGUUGAAGGUUGGGUAACACUAACUGGAGGACCGAACCGACUAAUGUUGAAAAAUUAGCGGAUGACUUGUGGCUGGGGGUGAAAGGCCAAUCAAACCGGGAGAUAGCUGGUUCUCCCCGAAAGCUAUUUAGGU